RNAcentral lists this unclassified non-coding RNA (26 nucleotides) under Mus musculus (house mouse). Its description in RNAcentral is "oocyte_clustered_small_RNA7161". Lineage: Eukaryota; Metazoa; Chordata; Mammalia; Rodentia; Muridae. The record is from RNAcentral.
GACUACAAUCAUCACUACACACUGGA